This 687-nucleotide long non-coding RNA is filed under the name Heterocephalus glaber (naked mole-rat). Its description in RNAcentral is "lncRNA (ENSHGLG00000042518.1)". The record is from RNAcentral. Lineage: Eukaryota; Metazoa; Chordata; Mammalia; Rodentia; Bathyergidae.
AGAUCCUGAGGACACCUAGCAGCCAUACACCAUCAGCAGAAGGCACUAGGGGAAUAGGAAGCUCUCCGUGUCCCCUGUUCUGGCUGUGUGAUGCAGAUACCAGAAGGAAGAGCUGUCAGGCCUGAGUUAUGGGGAUCUCAUGAUACACUAUGAGAUGACUUCUCGGGGUGGCUCAAGCUGCCACAGUCCUGGGAUGUGGCUGGUACUCUCCAUAACUGUUUCCUGAGUUUCUCUUCUGUAGGAUUUCCUGCAUUUGACCAGUGGUUUUGGGUCUCAAGUCUGCUCUGGAACCAUGAGGAAACCGUGGUUGCCCAGUGUGAGGUACCUGCUCAUUUAGGUUUUCAUUAUCCUCAUUUUUUACUUAAGAAACCUCAAGACUCAGAAAGGUAUAGUGGCAUCUUUCAGUUAAAUAUCAGGGGAUCGAACUUGGGUUCUUGCACUUGCAGCAGGUGGUGAAACCACUGAGCCAAAUCCCCGGCCCUUGAGAAAGUCUCCAACAGCACUCGAUUCUGAGAGACUUUCAGAAUUCAUAACAGAGGCCCAGGAAGUUAAAUCAACUCCCUAAGGCCCACAACUCGUGGUAAGAGGGGGACUGAAAUUCCUGCUGACCUGCUGCUGACACUGACUCCUCUCAGCGGGGCGCUGGAGUUGAGAGAACAAUCCUGACCCAACCCUUUAGAAAUGUGG